This 73-nucleotide transfer RNA is filed under the name Stegodyphus mimosarum. It matches the Rfam family "tRNA". From Rfam's summary of the family: Transfer RNA (tRNA) molecules are approximately 80 nucleotides in length. Lineage: Eukaryota; Metazoa; Arthropoda; Arachnida; Araneae; Eresidae. The record is from Rfam by way of RNAcentral.
GCCUUCGUGGUGUAGUGGUCAGCACGCUCGACGCGUAUCCGAGAGGUCCGUGGUUCGAGUCCCGGCGCGGACA